Mirounga angustirostris (Northern elephant seal) is the source of this 1413-nucleotide long non-coding RNA. RefSeq lists it as uncharacterized. The record is from RefSeq and is a predicted model, not a curated record. NCBI's taxonomy places the organism in Eukaryota, Metazoa, Chordata, Mammalia, Carnivora, Phocidae. The transcript is spliced from 4 exons.
ACAAGUGUGAUGACUGGCAGGGCAGUGGAGUCUAGCCAGACCCUGCAAAAAUUAUGUCUGACUGUGCCUGGGUACCUGCUGCCUCAGCUGGAGGAAGAAAAUGACUUCAGGCUUUAAUCUGCCUUCUGAAUCUUCGGUACAAAGAUUGCCAUUGAUGGGACUUAGUCGCUUGCAUGUCUUGGCUACUGUGAACAAUGCUGCAAUGAACUUGGGGGUGCAGAUAUCUUUUCAAGUUAGCGUUUUCGUUUCCUUCAGAGAAGUGCCCAGAGGUGGAGCUGCUGGAUCGACUGAAUGGCGCUGAGCACCGUGGUAGCUGCUGAGGACACAGAAUAACAGCAGGAGCAGCAACAACAACAACAAUAAUGCCCGCUCUUAGUGCCAUAAGGAAGAUUCUUCUGAAGACAUGAAUGAAGCAAUUGUGCACUUGGUGUAGAAAAGAUUCCAGAUAGAGGAGAUGUUUUCAAUGGCAAUAACCCUGAGAUGAAGUAUUUCACCGAAUCAACAGAGUUAUCGGCGCCGGCUUCCCUUUGAUGGUCCUGUGAGCACCUGUAAGCCUCCGAAGCUGUUCUUGGCAUGGAUGGACCAUGUCUGAAAGCUUUUAUUCUCUUCUUCUCUUCUUCACCCCUCCUACCUCCUGGGGGGGGGGAAUUCCUAACUCAAAUCCUUGGACAACAAAGGCAGCUAACGGAAUCCCAGAAUCCCGGUAGGUGAGGUCCCAAAGCAGAAAAACCGCUUCCAUGUAACUCCACAGAUGACCCUCCUGCCUCAGCACUGGCUUCAGAAACAUCUGAUGACCGGAUUAAGAGGGGCCUCUGAGGAGUCUGGAGGGCUUUGUGGGGAGAAGGGCCCCGUCACCUGUUUAUCAGAGUUUAAGAGGAUAGGUGAGGGCUGGCUGAGGGCAGAGAUGGACUUGCAGAAGGUUUGCUUGGUGAAGACUAGAUUUUUAAAAAUCCUCUUCUGGAAGCUGGCUGUGAGGGUGGCCGGGCCAGAGCGGGGGAGAGCCCCAGGCUUCUCAACCCUGGAGGGCAGGCCCAUUUGAUGCUGAGGAGAACCAUAUAGCACUGAGCAUGAAGCAGAAAGAAUGGGGUGUGGCUGGGGAUGGAGGGUGAGAUUUGGGGUUUGGAGGAGGGGACAGUGCUGGUCUGGAGAUUUCAGGGGAGGUGAUUCCCUUCUCUUCUAAAGACUUAGAAUCCUCUUCUAUCUUGGCCUUAGAAUUCGUAAGAAGGUACCCUCAAACCGAAUAUUCUGGAUGUGCCAGGGAUUGCCUGGGGAGUGCUGAGAAAGGGGAAGGCUUGGCAGUGCAGAGGAGCCCCCAGGUGCCAAGCUCCCCUAGGUGGCACCUUGGCCUGUGGUAGUGUCAGCCAGGCCAGUGUCCUUUUACUGACACCACAGCCAGGCCGGGCAACGUGGUGG